This 425-nucleotide ribosomal RNA is filed under the name uncultured Glomeromycotina. Its description in RNAcentral is "SSU rRNA". It matches the Rfam family "Eukaryotic small subunit ribosomal RNA", at positions 669 to 1092 of the family's 1831-position model. The record is from RNAcentral. Lineage: Eukaryota; Fungi; Glomeromycota.
CUCGGUACGUACUGGCAUCGUCGGUUUCUCCCUUCUGACGAACCAUGAUGUCAUUUAUUUGGUGUUGUGGGGAAUCAGGACUGUUACUUUGAAAAAAUUAGAGUGUUUAAAGCAGGCUCGCGCUUGAAUACAUUAGCAUGGAAUAAUGAAAUAGGACGUUUGAUUCUAUUUUGUUGGUUUCUAGGAUCGACGUAAUGAUUAAUAGGGAUAGUUGGGGGCAUUAGUAUUCAAUUGUCAGAGGUGAAAUUCUUGGAUUUAUUGAAGACUAACUACUGCGAAAGCAUUUGCCAAGGAUGUUUUCAUUAAUCAAGAACGAAAGUUAGGGGAUCGAAGACGAUCAGAUACCGUCGUAGUCUUAACCAUAAACUAUGCCGACUAGGGAUCGGAUGAUGUUAAUUUUUUAAUGACUCAUUCGGUGCCUUACG